CGUGUCGUUGGCUAAGUCCGU
RNAcentral lists this non-coding RNA (21 nucleotides) under Arabidopsis thaliana (thale cress). Lineage: Eukaryota; Viridiplantae; Streptophyta; Magnoliopsida; Brassicales; Brassicaceae. The record is from RNAcentral.